This 394-nucleotide ribosomal RNA is filed under the name uncultured bacterium. RNAcentral describes it as "bacterial SSU rRNA". It matches the Rfam family "Bacterial small subunit ribosomal RNA", at positions 505 to 898 of the family's 1533-position model. The record is from RNAcentral.
GUGUCAGCCGCCGCGGUAAAACGUAGGAGGCAAGCGUUAUCCGGAUUCACUGGGCGUAAAGCGUGCGUAGGCGGUUGGGUAAGUCGGAUGUUAAAGCCCCUGGCUCAACUGGGGGAGGUCAUUCGAUACUGCCCGGCUUGAGGAUGAGAGAGGAGAGCGGAAUUCCCGGUGUAGCGGUGGAAUGCGUAGAGAUCGGGAGGAACACCAGCGGCGAAAGCGGCUCUCUGGCUCAUAUCUGACGCUGAGUGCACGACAGCGUGGGGAGCAAACGGGAUUAGAUACCCCGGUAGUCCACGCUAUAAACGAUGAGGGCUGGGUGUUGGUUCCAUUCGGAAUCGGUGCCGAAGCAAACGCGUUAAGCCCUCCGCCUGGGGACUACGAUCGCAAGAUUAAA